Molecule: long non-coding RNA, 2702 nt
Filed under: Sus scrofa (pig)
Lineage: Eukaryota; Metazoa; Chordata; Mammalia; Artiodactyla; Suidae
Description: lncRNA (ENSSSCG00040031427.1)
Source: RNAcentral
AUCUACUAAUUCCAAGUUCCCGAUUUGUCCUUCCCCCACCCCUGUAUUAAAAUAUUACUUAUCUUGAUCACUAGGUUUUUUGGCCUCCUUGACAUUUUUGUGCCUGAGGUGAGGAGCUCGCUGGCUUGCUUAGUCUCGCCCCGUUGAGUUUAUAAAACAGGAUGGAAAAUCUCCAUGCAGGGAGUUUUUUCAGCAUCUCUUCCAGCCUACUCUGUCCGUGUAGAAUGUGUCCCUUACACCCCACAAAACAGACAACAGACAAACCGGCACAGCUCUCAAGCCUCACUUGUGCUCCCUAUGGGGUAGUGGGGUCUCUCCUGGCCAUACCCCUCACCAUCAGGUCAUGGGAAACGCACAGGGAGACCAUCUUAUUGGGGGAGCCUCUUCACCAAGGCUCUUUGGAUGGGCUCCAGGGCAGACCCACUUCAUAAUGAGUUCUGCUGGGGAGUGACAAUGGGAAACAUGGUCCGUGCAUUUAUCUUUCUUGACAUCUUGACAGUUCCCAGUGACGUUCUUCUCUUGGCCUCACCUGACAUAGCCCAGUUUAGAAUGAGAGUCCCCCUGCAGAGUGAUUCCUUAUCUGUAAUGAAUAAAGACCUGCCCAUAAAGCUGGGGUGGGGGUGGGGGUAGGGGCAGACGAUAGAUUUGGAAGGACCCCCUGGAGAGUUAAUGCUGAUCCUUAGUUGGCAGCUGGCGAAGCUGAGGCACAAGGCAGUGACCUCCGAGUGGGGGUCCUUCUGAACCACACGGCUGGAAGUGCCCGGCCAGGCCUGGAAUGCAGGCCACAGCUCUGCCCUUGGCAGCCUCGGCCAGGCCAUGGCCUCAGUGGAGCGCUUGCCUGGGGAUGUGGAUCCACUGUGUUGCUGCUGCAAAGCAACCUGUUAUUUAAAGCCUCCCCCUGAUUCUGGGUUUCAGUGCCUUUCCUUCCAAACUACAGUAGGCCCCCUAAGUGCCUUUAUUGCCAUGGAGGGAGAGAGAAAAUGCAGGCAGCUUGGUAAUUGAACAACCAUGCUCUUGUCAGCCCUCAUUGUUUUCAAAGCAGCUAUUGUGGGGGGCUAGCGCCCUGGCAUGGCACAGGCAGGCCGCGCUGGCCUUCUCCAGCAGCGCCCGGGCCAGCUUGCCCCCCGUGGUCCACGGGGCAGUGUGUCUUUAAAUGUUCCUUGUUUCCUAAGUUCUGCUCUGGCAAGCCAGCUCUGCCUUAAACCUGCAGAGUUAAAUUUACCCAGACUGACAACUGUAUAUGCAGGGUUUACGUCUUUCAUAAUAUUAUGGCUAACUGAAUCGGAGAAUCGGCGUGCUGCUGGAACUGUAAAGCUCCUCGCGGGGAAAAUGUGCUUGCGAGCCUCCAUGGACUCUUUGACAGUUGCCUUGUCACUUCUCUGUGGCUCUCACCUCCCCGGUUUUCAUCUGAGAAGAUCAUUAGAUCCCUUGCAGCCUGUAGACAGGGGUGGGCUAGGCAGAGUGUCUGCAGAGCUGCUCCAGCCAGAGAAAGAGGCUUUUCCAUCUUUAAGUAGCCUUGGCUUGUUUGGGGGCUGCUAAGCUGCCUGAGUUGUCACGUGAAGACUCAAGGGGUCUGUGGACUGGGGACACGUGGUAUUGGUCGGUUGGUGGUCUAAUCUUGCCAGAUACUCAGCACAAGCUGCACCUUUACUAUUCAAGCAAGUCCUAAAUAUUUAUUAAAGAGGUAUUAUGUGUGAUGCUAAAUAGAUGUGAUUCAUUGGGGCAAAAAUACAUGGCUUUUGGGGUCACACCUGGCUUUGAAUUCUGGCUUUUGCUUUACUUACAGUGUGACCUUGGAUAAAUAAUUUUAUGUCCUCAAGGCUCAAUUUCUGCAAAGGCAGUGGAGUUGUUCAUCUAAUAGGCAGAUCGGUCAAGAUUAUAAAAUGGCCAGCAGUGUGCUGGGUACAUAUGAGAUUCUCAAUAAAUGGUCAGACCUUCCUUUUAUUGCUCUUGGGCACUCAUGUGGGAUAGAAAGACCUCUGUGGAUUCAGGAGAUCACCGUCCCAUUGGAGAGGCAAAGCGUCUGUGCUAAAUCAAGGUACAAGUAAUCGUUUGAGAUCUGUCACAUGUAGUAUAGCACUCAUUAGGGAUUGGUACAGAUCUAAAGUUCAUUGAGUUCAAAGGAGAGGCUAGAUCCCUGGUAAGUUGAGGUACACGGACAGCCUGAUCCGUCUCUGAAGGAUGAAGAGAAUUUAAAUAGAUGGAAAGACCACUGGGGAUUGUGUGUGUGUGUAUGUUUAUGUGUAGGGGAUGUCAGUUUAUUAGUAGAGGCAGAUAGUGUGUGUUAAUGCACAGAGAUGGAGAGGCCCAAGGCCCAAUUUGGGAAACAGUAGAAUAUGCUUUGUCUGGGAGUGAUGGUUUGUAUGUGGUAAAUAGUGGACCAGGAGGUUAGAAAUGUGGAUCUGAACUGCACUGUGGACAGCUCUGAAUACCAAGUUAGGGAAAUCAUUGCAUUAUCUUAUGUAUUUGGUUUGUUUUAAGCAUGGAACUCAGGACAGACCAGCAGUGAACCCAUGAAUGGGGGGUAGACCUCUAGUGGCCGAGAGAGUUACUGCAAAGCCUCAUGAUAUGAAUCUUGUUUAAUGCAUAAUUUUCACAAGCUUGGCUUAUGUUGGAAAUUGGAAGCAGAAUGUAAAAAACGUCCAGGCUGACAGAAGUAAUGGCUCACAGCCUGAAAUCUUACAGAGUCAAAAGAACCACAG